Non-coding RNA from Oryzias latipes (Japanese medaka), 2096 nucleotides. NCBI's taxonomy places the organism in Eukaryota, Metazoa, Chordata, Actinopteri, Beloniformes, Adrianichthyidae. The record is from RefSeq and is a predicted model, not a curated record.
AGCUUUUUAAACACAUUUGGUUAUUCUAUUUUUUUUUAGAGUCAACAGUAUCCCCAAAAACUACACAAACAGGCUGAUGGGCUGUUGAGCAACACUCCUGCAUGGUGGAGCGCACGCAUGACAGAUUGUUUGUGUGUGGGUGUGUGUGUGUGUGUGUGUGAGGGGGCUUUUAGCCUUUACUGAGGCAAAGCAGAAUUCAAGUCUGUCACGUUGUGCACGUACAGUUGCCAGCAGGUCUGGCGUUUCUCCUUUUUUUCUCUCAUUUGCACGGUAAAAAUUCCAUCACACCACCUGUCUUAUUUGUGCAGCUAUGCUCAUAAUGAGGCCAUUCAUUUACAGUUUUUAUUUAUUUGUUUUUUUACCAAUGUUUACACUCUAAAAUAAAAAUCUCCACACAAUUUGAAAAAUUCUACACCAAGGAGCAAAACACCGCCACAGAUUUGCACAGCAUUACACACAAUGUCUGCUUCACUCUUUUUUGCAAAACAUUACACACAGUGAUUUGUGAAACUAAACAAACAUUUCGACACCUAAAACACACAAAAGGAUUGUGAGGUUACUUCCUUGUCAUUACAAAGCCCCGCAUUGCCAACGACCACACAAAUGAACAAGUUGGAAACUCACAUCCACAAGAUUGCACAAGAAUGUCACAGCGUUACACCAAGUGGACCAGAUGCAGUGCAUUGUUGUGUGGGACGACGUCUCAUUCCAUCGGGCUGCUGUGGUCCAGAAUUGCAUGGCGGUGGAAAGUAUACGACCUGCGGCCCUAUUACUGUUUGCCCCUCAUUCAGGCCACGGAGCAGGCAUGGGAUCAAAUAGAAGAGCCUUCUGUUCAGGGGUGGAUCUGUCACUCACGGCGAUUCUUCCAACGGUGCCUGAUCCAGCCCGGCAGAGCCAUGAGGAAUAGUUACAGUAUUUCAGUUUUUCUGUGUAUUUGUCUACAGAUUUUAUUUGUGUCAUUGAUUUUAUUGUUGGUUGAUUACUGUAACUGAUUAUGGUAAGGAAUACUGUAUUCCUUAAAUUGAAAUAAAGACUUGGAAUAUUCAGUCAGGCAUCAGUGUCGUGCCGUGCAUGAUAAGUUUGUAGUAGGUCUAUUUGUGUUCAUUCUCCCUUUAUCUUUUUUUAGUUUAAACAAUCAAAGCAAGAAUAAUGCACAAAACAUUACAAUCAGCAUUCAUGCAUUCAUACAAAUUAGAUAUUAAAUCAAAGUUUACUUGAAAGGGAGUGGAAGGAAGCGAUCUCAUAUAAUCCCACCUCUAUUCUACCAUAAGCAUUUUUAUUACAUGACUUAUCAAUAUUCAGUUUAUCAGAUAUCCAUGCCUUACCAACACAGUUUCAGGUCAUUACCAAUGCUUAAGUAUCAAUAAAUCACAUGACAAAGAUGAAGUACUUCAUAAUUGUGUAAAAUAGACAUAACUCUACUUUGGAUAAUAAUUUACCACAUACAGAUCAGUUGUAUAAAAUACAUUCUGAUUAUUUUCAUUAGAAAAAUCAUGAUUAUGAUUAAAAAUAACCCUAUAUCAGAAAAUUGACAUAACAAAUCAUGACUUUUUGGGGCAAGUGCAGUGAUAUAAUUACAGAUCAAUCACUUUAACCAUCUUCAAUAAUUGAUUAGGCAAUUGUAUUAUUGUAAUUAUAAGGUAAUGCUGUGAAAUAAAACAGGGUCCACAUCCUGUCGAUUGUCCAAGAUUUAUCUCAAACUAAUCAUGAAGAAUGUUGUGUUGUGUUGGGUUUGUCACUAUUUUGUUUUGUCAUUGAAAUGAUCACUAGCAAAACAAUGUCUGACCCAAUAUCUAACACAUGCUAUUUUCUAAAAAUUAGGUGUUUUUUUUUACAAUUAUGUUUUUUUAUUUAUCCCUGGAGUGUGAAACUGUCUGCAAUAGUGUCUGAUCAUUGAUGACUGUGUUGGGAAAAUGAAAACUAACGGCAUUUUGGUUAAUAUAUGUUGUGCCUGAAGUGUUUCCUUCUGCAAAAAAUCCAGAAAUUCAGCAAAUUGAGAGUGCUGUUUGGAUAAUUGUGAUUAUAUUUUGAGAAAUGGAAUCCAGCUUUUCAAAUUGUGUGUAAACGUUUGAUAAAAACUGUAAUCUAAAUUAAGA